Suricata suricatta (meerkat) is the source of this 315-nucleotide long non-coding RNA. RefSeq lists it as uncharacterized. The record is from RefSeq and is a predicted model, not a curated record. The transcript has 3 exons. Lineage: Eukaryota; Metazoa; Chordata; Mammalia; Carnivora; Herpestidae.
CUCCCCUCCUCUGCCCCGUAAGAGGAGUGCUGGCUCUGCCAUAUCAGAUCCUGUGUCCUUUUUGUGCAGAAUCACGGCCACGGACCCUUGCCUCGUCAUCCCAGUGAAGUUCUCUGCUGCUGCCCAGGACCCCUGCCACACUAUGUAUCUCAUCCCUACUGCCCAGUUUCACCAGGGCCACCAACAGUCUUGAGCAGAAAGGAGACACAAUAAUGUUUUUUGAAAGUCUCUCUAGAAUGAGCUAAACCAGUCAUCCACCCCGGCCACUGAGAAAUGACUCAUUCUCCUGGAUGUGACCUGAAUCAACAAAGGAAG